AGUGAACAAGCACCAAACCAGCGUGCGUGAGUGCAGAGUUGGAUGGUGAGCCGUGCAUUGCAUGACGUGCAAUUUUGUGCUGUUCCUAUCAGAAUAAAGCUCCAUGACUGGUGUUACAAGAUGGAGUUCGUGUUGAUGAUUGAUUGUACACAACGCAAGAAGAGUACUGUUACAGUGGUGCCGUGACCGUUCUUCUGGAUCGGAUCAUCCUUCGCUGGAUUUCCAUCUCAGAACUUCGCCGUGGUUGCCGUUGAAGAAUCAGAUAAGACGUUGCUGGUGCAGUUUA
Coregonus clupeaformis (lake whitefish) is the source of this 286-nucleotide long non-coding RNA. RefSeq lists it as uncharacterized. Lineage: Eukaryota; Metazoa; Chordata; Actinopteri; Salmoniformes; Salmonidae. The transcript has 3 exons. The record is from RefSeq and is a predicted model, not a curated record.